Molecule: ribosomal RNA, 401 nt
Filed under: uncultured bacterium
Lineage: Bacteria
Description: partial 16S ribosomal RNA
Rfam family: Bacterial small subunit ribosomal RNA
Source: RNAcentral
UGGGGAAUAUUGCACAAUGGGCGCAAGCCUGAUGCAGCCAUGCCGCGUGUGUGAAGAAGGCCUUCGGGUUGUAAAGCACUUUCAGCGAGGAGGAAGGGUAGUGUGUUAAUAGCACAUUGCAUUGACGUUACUCGCAGAAGAAGCACCGGCUAACUCCGUGCCAGCAGCCGCGGUAAUACGGAGGGUGCAAGCGUUAAUCGGAAUUACUGGGCGUAAAGCGCACGCAGGCGGUUUGUUAAGUCAGAUGUGAAAUCCCCGCGCUUAACGUGGGAACUGCAUUUGAAACUGGCAAGCUAGAGUCUUGUAGAGGGGGGUAGAAUUCCAGGUGUAGCGGUGAAAUGCGUAGAGAUCUGGAGGAAUACCGGUGGCGAAGGCGGCCCCCCUGGACAAAGACUGACGCU